AUGAACGCUGGCGGCGUGCCUAAUACAUGCAAGUCGAGCGAACAGACGAGGAGCUUGCUCCUCUGACGUUAGCGGCGGACGGGUGAGUAACACGUGGAUAACCUACCUAUAAGACUGGGAUAACUUCGGGAAACCGGAGCUAAUACCGGAUAAUAUAUUGAACCGCAUGGUUCAAUAGUGAAAGACGGUUUUGCUGUCACUUAUAGAUGGAUCCGCGCCGCAUUAGCUAGUUGGUAAGGUAACGGCUUACCAAGGCAACGAUGCGUAGCCGACCUGAGAGGGUGAUCGGCCACACUGGAACUGAGACACGGUCCAGACUCCUACGGGAGGCAGCAGUAGGGAAUCUUCCGCAAUGGGCGAAAGCCUGACGGAGCAACGCCGCGUGAGUGAUGAAGGUCUUCGGAUCGUAAAACUCUGUUAUUAGGGAAGAACAAAUGUGUAAGUAACUAUGCACGUGUUGACGGUACCUAAUCAGAAAGCCACGGCUAACUACGUG
This 496-nucleotide ribosomal RNA is filed under the name uncultured bacterium. Its description in RNAcentral is "partial 16S ribosomal RNA". It matches the Rfam family "Bacterial small subunit ribosomal RNA", at positions 29 to 507 of the family's 1533-position model. The record is from RNAcentral.